This 256-nucleotide long non-coding RNA is filed under the name Lathyrus oleraceus (garden pea). RNAcentral's name for it is "Pisum sativum (pea) long non-coding RNA (PSAT_LNC000710)". The record is from RNAcentral. Lineage: Eukaryota; Viridiplantae; Streptophyta; Magnoliopsida; Fabales; Fabaceae.
AAAAGGUUUGUUCAUGAGCUGUCAUGCUCGCUAGGCGAAGCCCACGUGUUAUGCAAAAAAAACGAAAAAAUUGAAAAAAAAAAACGAAAAAAAAAAAUUAAAUAAAUAAACAAAAGAAAAAAUCUCAGACUUGGACCACUCUCAUUUGAGCCCACAAAGCCAUGAAAAUCAGGUUAUAAAAGAGGGAGAACAGACAGAAAAAGGAAGAGAAGCAAAACACUCUGAGGUUUCCUUGAAACAAAACCCUGGACAAAAC